This 322-nucleotide unclassified non-coding RNA is filed under the name uncultured fungus. RNAcentral describes it as "partial contains 5.8S ribosomal RNA and internal transcribed spacer 2". The stretch from base 1 to 133 matches the Rfam family "5.8S ribosomal RNA", at positions 22 to 154 of the family's 154-position model. The record is from RNAcentral. Lineage: Eukaryota; Fungi.
UGGCUCUGGCAUCGAUGAAGAACGCAGCGAAAUGCGAUAAGUAGUGUGAAUUGCAGAAUUCAGUGAAUCAUCGAAUCUUUGAACGCACAUUGCGCCCCUUGGUAUUCCAUGGGGCAUGCCUGUUCGAGCGUCAUCUACACCCUCAAGCUCUGCUUGGUGUUGGGCGUCUGUCCCGCCUUCGUGCGCGGACUCGCCCCAAAUUCAUUGGCAGCGGUCUUUGCCUCCUCUCGCGCAGCACAAUUGCGUUGUAAGGGGGCGUGGCCCGCAUCCACGAAGCAACAUUACCGUCUUUGACCUCGGAUCAGGUAGGGAUACCCGCUGA